RNAcentral lists this ribosomal RNA (1483 nucleotides) under uncultured bacterium. RNAcentral describes it as "bacterial SSU rRNA". It matches the Rfam family "Bacterial small subunit ribosomal RNA". The record is from RNAcentral.
AGAGUUUGAUCCUGGCUCAGAAUGAACGCUGGCGGCGUGCCUCAGUCAUGCAAGUCGUACGAGAAAGCACUUUCGGGUGUGAGUAAAGUGGCGCACGGGUGUAGAGCACCUAGGUAACGUACCCUUUCGCUGGGGAUAACGGGGGGAAACUCCCGCUAAUACCGAAUACUCCGAGGAGGAUUGCGGUUCUCUUCGGGAAAGCCGUAAGGCGCGAAAGGAGCGGCUUGGGUCCUAUUAGCUAGUUGGUGAGGUAAUGGCUCACCAAGGCUGUGAUGGGUAGCUGGUCUAAGAGGAUGAUCAGCCACACUGGUACUGGAACACGGACCAGACUCCUACGGGAGGCAGCAGUUAGGAAUAUUGCGCAAUGGGCGAAAGCCUGACGCAGCGACGCCGCGUGGGUGAGGAAGGCCUUCGGGUUGUAAAGCCCUUUUAGCAGGGACGAAUAAAUGACGGUACCUGCAGAAAAAGCACCUGCUAACUCUGUGCCAGCAGCAGCGGUAAUACAGAGGGUGCGAGCGUUAUUCGGAAUUAUUGGGCGUAAAGCGCAUGUAGGUGGUUUGGUAAGUCCGAUGUGAAAGCCCCCGACUCAAUCGGGGAAGUGCGUUGGAUACUGCCUGACUUGAGUGCANGAGGGGAGAGCGGAAUUCCCGGUGUAGAGGUGAAAUUCGUAGAUAUCGGGAGGAACCACAGUGGCGAAGGCGGCUCUCUGGACUGGUACUGUCUGACGCUGAGAUGCGAAAGCGUGGGAGCCAACAGGAUUAGAUACCCUGGUAGUCCACGCCGUAAACGAUGGAUACUAGAUGCUGGAGGAUCUUACCCUUUCAGUGUCGCCGCUAACGCAUUAAGUAUCCCGCCUGGGUAGUACGCCGCAAGGUUAAAACCCAAAGAAAUUGACGGGGGCCCGCACAAGCGGUGGAGUAUGUGGUUCAAUUCGAAGCAACGCGAAAAACCUUACCUGGGUUUGACAUCCCGCGCAUAGCCAUGAAAGUGGUGAAAUCCCUUCGGGGACGCGGUGACAGGUGCUGCAUGGCUGUCGUCAGCUCGUGUCGUGAGAUGUUGGGUUAAGUCCCGCAACGAGCGCAACCCCUGCCAUUAGUUGCCAGCAUUCAGUUGGGCACUCUAAUGGGACCGCUUGCCGAUAAGGCAGAGGAAGGUGGGGAUGACGUCAAGUCCGCAUGGCCCUUACAUCCAGGGCAACACACGUACUACAAUGGCCGGCACAAAGCGCCGCGACGCCGUGAGGCGGAGCUAAUCGCAAAAAACCGGUCUCAGUUCGGAUUGGAGUCUGCAACUCGACUCCAUGAAGUUGGAAUCGCUAGUAAUCGCGGAUCAGCAUGCCGCGGUGAAUACGUUCCCGGGCCUUGUACACACCGCCCGUCAAGCCAUGGGAGCUGGUAUUGCCUGAAGAGGCUGAGCUAACCGCAAGGAGGCAGGUCUUAAUGGUGAUGCCGGUGACUGGGGUUAAGUCGUAACAAGGUAGCCG